AUGUAUCUGUGUGUGUCCAUGCGUAUUUGCACGUGCGUCUGUGUNNNNNNNNNNUCUGUGUGUCAGUACACACGUACAUACACACGUGUGUGCACACUGUGUGCCUGCGUAUGUGUGUGUGUCCAUGUGUAUUUGCACAUGCGUCUGUGUGUCUGUUUACACGUACAUACACACGUGUGUGCACACUGUGUGCCUGUGUAUCUGUGUCCGUGUGUCCGUGUGUGUAUUUGCACGUGCGUCUGUGUGUUUACACGUACAUACAUGUGUGUGCACACACUGUGUGCCUGCAUAUCUGUGUGUCCAUGUGUAUUUGCACGUGUGUCUGUGUGUCAGUAUACACGUACAUAUGCACAUGUGUGCACAAUGUGUGCCUGCGUGUGUGUGUCCGUGUGUGUAUUUGCACGUGUCUGUGUGUCAGUAUGCACGUACAUACACACGUGUGUGCACACUGUGUGCCUGUGUAUCUGUGNNNNNNNNNNCACACUGUGUGCCUGUGUAUCUGUGUGUGUCUGUGUGUGUAUUUGCAUGUGCGUCUGUGUGUCAGUAUACACGUACACACACACGUGUGCACACUGUGUGCCUGUGUGUCUUUGUGUGUCUGUGUGUGUAUUUGCACGUGCGUCUGUGUGUCAGUAUACACGUACAUACACACGUGUGUGCACACUGUGUGCCUGUGUAUCUGUGUGUGUCCGUGUGUGUAUUUGCACGUGCGUCUGUGUGUCAGUAUACACGUACAUAUGCACAUGUGCGCACACUGUGUGUGCCUGCAUUUUUGUGUGUGUCCGUGUGUGUAAAUUCAUCUUUGGAUGCCUGGAUUGCAUUGUGAGGGACAUUUUCCAGAAAGACUUUGUAAACGCUCGCUUCCCGAGUCCUCGUAAGCUGCAAAUGCCCUUCCUUCACGCCUGCACAUCUGACAGCAUCCCGUUGCUGCGUUCAGGGAGCUCCGUCACGCGGCACACACCGUUGCACUCCGUCGCAUCCAGUACUGCCGAGGAGUGCUCGUUUUUCCUCCUUCUGGGCCACCUGCUCCUUCUGCUGGAGCUCAGAGCACUCCAUCCUAGACAGGGGGAAGCAGACCUUUCCCGGAAAGGGCCAGAGAGUGAAUAUGUUCAACUGUGUGUGCCAGACAUCGUCUGUCACAACUACCGCCCUGGCUGA
RNAcentral lists this long non-coding RNA (1158 nucleotides) under Ursus thibetanus thibetanus. RNAcentral describes it as "lncRNA (ENSUTTG00000004486.1)". The record is from RNAcentral. Lineage: Eukaryota; Metazoa; Chordata; Mammalia; Carnivora; Ursidae.